AUCCAGAUAACGAGCCCCAAAUAGGACUAAAUGUGCAUCCUGGAU
Non-coding RNA from Trichobilharzia regenti, 45 nucleotides. The record is from Rfam. NCBI's taxonomy places the organism in Eukaryota, Metazoa, Platyhelminthes, Trematoda, Strigeidida, Schistosomatidae.